CCUACGGGAGGCAGCAGUGAGGAAUAUUGGUCAAUGGACGCGAGCCUGAACCAGCCAAGUAGCGUGAAGGAUGACUGCCCUAUGGGUUGUAAACUUCUUUUAUAAAGGAAUAAAACGAGGCACGUGUGCCUUUUUGCAUGUACUUUAUGAAUAAGGAUCGGCUAACUCCGUGCCAGCAGCCGCGGUAAUACGGAGGAUCCGAGCGUUAUCCGGAUUUAUUGGGUUUAAAGGGAGCGUAGAUGGGUUGUUAAGUCAGUUGUGAAAGUUUGCGGCUCAACCGUAAAAUUGCAAUUGAUACUGGCAGCCUUGAGUACAGUUGAGGUAGGCGGAAUUCGUGGUGUAGCGGUGAAAUGCUUAGAUAUCACGAAGAACCCCGAUUGCGAAGGCAGCUUACUAAACUGCGACUGACAUUGAUGCUCGAAAGUGUGGGUAUCAAACAGGAUUAGAUACCCGAGUAGUC
Molecule: ribosomal RNA, 460 nt
Filed under: uncultured bacterium
Lineage: Bacteria
Description: partial 16S ribosomal RNA
Rfam family: Bacterial small subunit ribosomal RNA
Source: RNAcentral